GCAUAUGUGUGUGUAGCCUGGUUGAAAAUGUCCUGUCUGAACAUUUAAAUCCAUCUGACGGUUUUGGAUCUGUUUCAGUCUUUGUUUCCACUUGAAUCAAAGUAAACUCUCUUCUCACUAACACCUGCUGUUAUUAAGAGCGUUUAGUGUUUCAGGGCACAGAUGGAGUGUUUUGAAGAGCGUCUUUCUAUCUGUGUCUUACUUCCACUCAGAAACAACGGGAACAUUGAAAAGUCCACUGAUCGCUCUUUCUUCGUCCAACCUGCUCUGCCUGCUGUCCUGAUGGAGAAAACUGUAACACAAACUGCCUGAAACAUCAACAACUCUCUCCUUAAGAUGCUCAAGUGGAGGGAAUUACAUGAUUUAUUUGUACAGUAUGUGUCCAUCAUAACCUGAUAAUCCGUCCUGUUGUCUUCCUGUCGACCGUACAAUUUUUGUGUUUGGUUUGACUGUUUAUAAAGCAUAAAGGUUUAAAUUAUCUCCCAAUGCUGUGUUAGACCUUUUUAGCCAACUUCAUUCCAGCAUUUUACCACAGUUUUACACAUAUUUUGUUUGGAAAUUAUGGUCAAUAGGUCUCAUUUAAUAAAAUUAUACCUCAUUUUUGA
This is a long non-coding RNA of Scomber scombrus (Atlantic mackerel), 605 nucleotides long. RefSeq lists it as uncharacterized. The record is from RefSeq and is a predicted model, not a curated record. NCBI's taxonomy places the organism in Eukaryota, Metazoa, Chordata, Actinopteri, Scombriformes, Scombridae. The transcript has 2 exons.